This 918-nucleotide ribosomal RNA is filed under the name Triticum aestivum (bread wheat). RNAcentral describes it as "partial small subunit ribosomal RNA". The record is from RNAcentral. Lineage: Eukaryota; Viridiplantae; Streptophyta; Magnoliopsida; Poales; Poaceae.
AUGAACAUCAAAUUUCACGAAACGAAUGGUAAAAAUGGGUGGCAAGUUGCCUUAAAUUUACUGGUUGAGGUUGUCCAGUGCCUCCAGCAGCACAGGUCUGAACCUCUUGCAGUCGAGCCUCACGUUCUGCUUGUCCAUGAAGGUGCGCCUGAUGAACUCGAACCCACGCUUGUGGAAGGAGAUGGGGUCCUUGAAGAUCUUGUGGUCCCUCGGGUAGUGGUCGGUGAGGCUGCUCUCGUCGACGGUAAUGGCGUACUGCUUGUACCGGAGGCCCAUCAUCUCCGACGGGUUCCCGAAGUCGGUGCGGGAGAUCCAGUCGAGGCCGCCGAAGGGCACGAUCUGGAUGAGCGUGGCGUUCUGCGGCAGGAAGACGCAGUUGGUGAGCCCGGCGCCGUGCACGCCCAUCAUCACGUCCACCGAGUUCACCAGCUUGGCGAAGCCGUUGAUGUCGGAGCUCACGUUGGCCUCGUCGAUCACCACCUCGAACCCGAGCUCCUCGGCCAUGCCGAUAAUCUCCUCCAGGUUAAGGAACAUCCUGGUGCGGUGCCGCUUGAUGAUGAGCAGCCUCGGCUUCACCCUGGGGCUCUCCCCGAGCGCCGCCGCGGCGGCCUUGGGCAGCGAGUAGGCCGACCGCAUGAACCGGUUGAAGUCGACCAUGGUGACCCCGUUCGGCGACUUGGUGGCGUCGAUGGUGAACUCCAUGUAGGCGUGCGUGCCGACGAUGGCGUGCUUGAAGCAGUGCACCUGGUCGUCCUUGCUGAAGUCGAUAAGGGGGUACUUGGACAGCUUCUGGAGCAGGGUGUGGUACUUGAUGGUCCACCAGAGCGCCAUGUCCGUGAUGAGGAACUGCACCUCGCCGUCGAACUGGCUGGCCGUGGUGAAGAGCGGCACGAUCACGUCGGUGAAGUCGUGAAAUAG